Apis cerana (Asiatic honeybee) is the source of this 3170-nucleotide long non-coding RNA. RefSeq lists it as uncharacterized. NCBI's taxonomy places the organism in Eukaryota, Metazoa, Arthropoda, Insecta, Hymenoptera, Apidae. The record is from RefSeq and is a predicted model, not a curated record.
GCCGUCAAAGAACGAUGAGAGAACGAUGUCUUCAACGCGUCCAAUAGAUUGAUCACUAUGCUGAUGAACUGUUUUCGAAAGAAAUGAUUUAAAUAAUGAUUAAAUAACAUCGUGAAAUAAUAUCGAGGAAAGAGUAAAUAAGUCGAAACGUCAAUCAGAGAGAAAAAAAAAGGAGAGCAAAAUUGUUCAUGUACAAUGUAUGUGUACGAUCACGUACUAACCUCGGAAGCGUUUUUAGCCAUAACAGCAACCUGAUCGGGGUCUCUGCCCUGUCCUAGAAACGCGCCCAGCACCGCAGUCAAAAUGCCCUAAACAACCGACACCAGCCAUGUGCUCUAAGUUGACGUCCUCUGAUGAUGAUUAUUUACAAGAAGAAGAGUCGAGUCUGUGUAAACUUUUUUACACCCAAGCGACAGAUCUUGUCAAGGAGAGUAUCGUUUUUUCUUUUUUUUUCUUUUUUUUUUUUAAUUAAUUGUACAAAAUCACAACGGCAUACGAUCGAUUGAUUUGAUUCGAAUUCGUAGUAUGUAUAUAUAUAUAUAUUAAAUUGAGAGGGAAUUUCGCGGUUUAGAAAACGUGAAGAUCGUUAACGUGAUCAGUGUUCCCUUAAUUGAUUAAGGGGACAAUAGAGCUCGUUAACAGGAGUAACGAUUCGUACGCUCGUUGUGAUUUCUAUCUAAAAAAUAAUUUUGUAAUAACAAAAGAGAAAGAGAGAGAAAAAAAAGGUAGAAACAUAUAUAUAUAUAUGUAUGUAUAAAGCGACGAUAUUAUUUUACAAUACGUGCACGAAACGUCGCGUCUUUCCAACGAAAGAGAAAGAGAGACAAACUAGCGAUCAUUCCUUCUCGAAAUUCUAUUAUUGUGUAUUUAAAAGAAGGAAGAGACAAACUCUCUGUGUUUUGCUCCGCGUCAUGCUCAGCGAUGUAUAGUCUACAGCAUGUAUAUAUGCGUUAUUCUAAUUAGCUAUCCAAAUGUACAGCAAAUGUCGUGUAUAUGUAUAUGUGUGUGUGUGUAUAUGUGUGUGUGUCUGGAUAAAUAUUCUAAGGAACGAUUCCAUGGUAAAAAGAAAAUUAUAAACGGAAAAUGAUUGUAUAUAAAUGAUUAUAUAUACGCUUGUUAUGUAUAAUACCAUGGAAUAAUUCAAUUGUAUUCUACUGUUUGUAGUAUGUUUGACCUAAAUCGCAAUACAGUCAGUUCGGCUCAUGCUUGCUUUCAUUUAUGCGACCCGGAUCAAGAUGAAAGUCUCGGAAACUCUUGUCUUGUUCCUGUUGUGCGGGACCGUUUCGAGUAAUCAUCAAGAUUGCUUUCUAAUUCGUGUUUCUUAAUUUGGGAAAUAUUCAGGUUCAGCUGAUCGGUAUUUAUCAAUAGAGGUAUCGUUACCUAAAAUGUAUAUAUUUGAUUCGCAGAUAAAUCGGUGUUGAAGCGGAAAUGACCGUAAUUAAGAAGGGAGAAACAAGGUGUUUUGGAUACCACAAUGUUUGUUGAUACCGCACAUACCUGCAUGGGACUGCUUUGGUUAUCAACCUUGUCGAUACCGUCCACGGAUUGUUGGGGACCUCCUAGAAGAGCGGUGAGCACCCUCAGCCCCACCGACAGCAAAUUUGCCCAGGGGCUGGCAGGUGCCCCGUCGUCGAUCUCGUUCUUGCUUGGACCUGUCACUCCUCCUGUUUGACCCAGGAUCAUCUGCAUCAGCAUGCUCAACAUGUUCGACCAUGAGAACCCGGUACUGCUACCUUCCUGAUGAGGCAGAAGAGGAUUCGUCAAGAAUUUAUGAAGAUGAAGACUUUGAGGAGAUGAAACGAGAAGGAGGGAAUAAUUAAAUAUAAAUUAAAUUGUAGAAAUAUUGUAGAAAUUUAAUGUAACGAUAAUUUACUUGAAUCUGAUUGGUACUAAUGUCAUCUAGGUCAUCGAGGGCGACCUUCUUCAUUGCAUUCGGCUUUUCUGCGAAUUUCCUCUCGUCUCUGACCUGCUGUUGGAACUGUUGCGGAUACUGAGUAUGCUGUGGCAGCGUGGCUGCUUGUCCAAGAACAAGCGCCAUCAAGCAUAGCGAUAUGCAUUGGCUAUGAUUCAUUCUGGAAAAAAAGGAAAAGAGAGAAAUUGAGAGAAUUAUUCGUCGAUCGAGGAUCAAAAUAUUAAUGAAUCGAGAAAGAAAGGGAAUGACACCAAUGGCUUUUUUCGUCAUUUUGAAUGAUUCAAAAAAGAGAAAGUAAGAGAGUAUCUGACGAAGAUUCCAAAUCCACUGUUUCGAAACACGUAUCCCACAUACAACUUAUUAUUAAACAUAUUUUAUCUUUUCCAUUAAUUUCUUUUCUUUCUUUUAAACAACUAUAUAUUUUAAUUUAAUUACAAUCGAUUAUAAAUACAAGAUUGAAAUUUUUAAAAAAACCGAAAUAUUUGCAAAGUAACGUUAAUUUAAUAUUCCACGUCGAAUGCGCGCAAUCUCGAAUGUACAAUAUUUUUUUCCAUUAUUUUUCCAAAAAAAGAAAAAGAAAGAGGGAGAGAAAGGGAAGAUCAAUCUUCUUCGAGAAGAUUGCAUCGGUAACCUUGAUCCCAGUGGAGAAGCGAUAAAAAAAACGAGUGAUCAUGCGAGUAUAAGCAAAGAAAGAACAUCGAGCGGUAAGAAAGUGUGUCAGAGCGGUUAAGGUCAUCCUGGUAGCACCAGGUAGCCCACUUCUCGAUCGAAGCUACCGGUUUGUUGAACUCGAGGGAUACCGUUAUCUGAAAACGCGGUCGCGACCUACUGUCGUGUUCAAUCUCUCAGACUGCAGUCACCGACCUCCUAAACGAAAGACAAACAAAUAAUACGAGAGGAAAAGGAAAAAGAAAAAUGGAAGAAAAAAAGAAAAAGAAAGAAAAGAAUCGAAGAAAUCAUCGAGAUAGUGAAAAUUUAAUCUAAGUUAUAGUUAUUUUGUUUAAAAAUAAUAAAAUUUUCGACGGAUGGAAUUUUUGAUAAAUGUUCGAAAGAAUUGAAGAAAAGAGUAAAAGAAUUAAAAGAAUAAUUGAUACGUUUUAAAUUUAUACAACUUUGUUAUUUAUAAGAAAAAAAUUUUUAAAAAAUUGUCGUUUAAUUUACUUUAGAUUUAAUUUGCUACCUUUAAUUUACUUUAGAUUUAUUAGUAAGAGAAAAAUUGUAUAAGUAUAUACGAAUAAAUAAUAAAAAUUAAAAAAUA